GCCCCUUCGGCAACCGUGGCUCCUGAAGUUCUCGUCGCUGUGUUACAGCGUUACUACUAAGGCAGCUUACAUGAUUUUGUCGUUUCAGGAAUUUUCGAAUUACUCUACUGGGGCAGGAUUAUGCGUGAUGGCUUGAAGGCUGCAGCGCCAUGAUCAAGGGCUGGGCGUUCCUGCUUCAUGGUGCUCCAAAGUUCAUGCCUCCAUGGGAAGUUGAUGCAGGUCAAGCGUCAGAUCCAGUCUACUCUCCUCGCAACAAUCAGGAUUAGCUUAGGAAGCUGCAUAAGAUAUUGGAAUAUCAUAUAACUGCUGCCUCGAACAUGACACCAAGCCUUCAAAUUGGCUUACAACAUAAUGUGACUACUGUUAGAACUGAAUUUAUGUAUACUGGAGACAAGUUGGCUUAUAUUCCUGGAAAUUGCUAUUUUGGCGAGAGCAAAAUACUAGAGGAGCCUCCUUUGUACUAUUGUAAUCAGGCCUACAUGGAGCAAGCGAGAGAAAAAAACUUACAAGGCAACCAAGCAUUUUAGAAGGCCGUGGAGUAGCAGGAAUCUAGGACCUCAAGUCAGUCCCCGGGGUCUUUGACUGAAUAGUAUCCUCAGUUUUUGGCAAAAGUUGUGAACACCAUAGGAAGCUGUGUGUAGCAUCAAUGUGAUCCUUUUUAACUUCCCCUUGUAAAAUCUUUUAUUUUUCGAGUGACACUUGUAAAAUCUUUCCAUGAUAGAUUAGAAUGUAGAAUGUUGAGUUUUUUUUUAUAGGAUCC
This is a long non-coding RNA of Lolium rigidum, 760 nucleotides long. RefSeq lists it as uncharacterized. The record is from RefSeq and is a predicted model, not a curated record. The transcript has 5 exons. NCBI's taxonomy places the organism in Eukaryota, Viridiplantae, Streptophyta, Magnoliopsida, Poales, Poaceae.